AUGAAAAACUGUGAUGUAGAAUGCACCAUGAAAGAUAAAAAGAACUGUAAAAUGUGGAUGCUUAGGGAAGUGAGUGGUGCAGUAUCUACAUUCCUGGGAUGGAAAGCAGAAGAAUUUGUGCUAAUGCUUCCCCUUGCACUGGGGCCUCAGGAAAGUCACUACUUUCCUAAGCUUUCAAUGCCUCCUGUACCCACUUCUAACUUUUUUUUUUUUUUAAGAUUUUAUUUAUUUAUUCAUGAGAGACACACAGAGAGAGGCAGAGACAUAGGCAGAGGGAGAAGUAGGCUCCCUGUGGGGAGUAGGAUGCAGGACUCAAUCCUAGGACCCCGGGAUCAUGCCCUGAGCCCAAGGCAGAUACUCAACCACUGAGCUGCCCAGGCGUCCCUCCCUUUACCCCUUAAGAAUGUUUCCCCUCAGCCUCUUCUUGAGUGACUCAUCCAUUCACUUGUCUCCUUCUCAGGGACAGCCACAGUCCUAUCAUGAGGUAGCAUGAGAGGCCCUUAUUAUGUAAUUUGUUACAUUCUUUCCUAGGCCAUGCCUAAGACUCUUCCAUGUGUCUUCAGAUGAAACUAUUCUGGGCCCUUCCUGGGUAACAAUUCAAUCUCCCCAAGAUCCUUGCUGCUCUGGCCUUCCUUUAAACUCAGAUGGCCACAAAGACACAUCUGCCCUUUGGCUGAGCUGUCCCUGAUAAUUCGCCCCAGGGCCAUACCUGGACCAGGGACACUUAAGCCCUAUGGUCAGGCCUCAUGGGUGUUGGACACAGCUUUUUAAAAAAGUGUUGUUCUAGUUGCUUGCCAGUCCUACUGGUUUUUACUGGUUGUAAAAUGUUCAGGAAGAUGGAAACUGGCAACAGGUUGGGAGGCAGGCAGGUCUUGGGAGAAGACCAAGGAUCCCUGGGAAUUUUAGACAAUAGGCAAUCAAUUCCAUGAACUCUAUAACAUCUUUUGCAAUAAGAACUACUCAAGAUGCUCACUUUCAGUGGGAGUGAUAGACAUAACUCAUUCAGCGCUCCAGGAAGGUUACUUCAUGGGCCAUAAUCUGCAAUGGAGAAGAAGGAGGAUGAGUGAAAGAGGAUUGAAGCUGGUCUUAGACAUUCCUGGGCUGGAGGUGGGUGUCAGCCAACUGUAGAGUGGCUGUAGGGUGGGGCAAGCUCUGGGGAGGAACAGGGGAGGGAUCCCUUAACCUGUAUUAGGACUGAGGCUCAUGAGAAGGGCCCUGAAUAAGAUAGGGGAGACUCUGCUGGGGAACGGCCACCACAGAUGAGGACAGUGCUACACUCUGUGUAGAUGAGGACACUCUGGAAGAGCUACUCUGUGUCUGAGGCACCUGGUGCCUACAGGCAUGGGACACACGGCUGCUGUGGCCUGUGCACCUGCUCUCUUUUGCCUCCUUGUUCUUGAAGAGUGGGAAGACUGGUAUCCUGUGUUUCAGUAAGUGACUCUAAGGCAUUCCCAGACUUUGCUUGGUAGCCCGAUUUCAGGAAUUUUCAAGAUGGUUCCUCCUGUUCUCUUCCCAAAUCCCGAAGUCCCCUCUCUUGAUGAUUCUUUUUUUUUUUUUUUCUCUGAUGAUUCUUAUCUUCAGGUGCUCCUGGACCUCAAGGAGGAGGGAAAAGUCUAGUGGCCUCCACGUGCUCCUUCUAAGGCCUCCCCUGAGAGAGGCCUCUGUUAAGAUCAGGUCAGGGACCAAGUGAGACUUGCUUAAGGAAUGGGAUCCAGAGUCUGAGUGUGCUUUGGGGCUAGAUAGGGAAUGUCAGUUAUUUCCUGGUUCAUGUUAUGUACUCAUAGCAGUGCAGGACAUACAGUAGACACUUAGUCAGGAAUGUCUCAACACACCAGCAAAGGGACGAAUCUCGAACUCAUAGAAAUGAUCUAGGACAGCAAAUGAAUAGUGGCUUAAGAUACUUUUGUGGUGACCAUCCCAUUACCUGAGACUAAAUUCUAGCUCCCCAUAUAUACAUUAUUUUCAGAAUAGUGCUAUUCAAGUUUUCUUUAUUUUUUUUUAUUUUUAAAAGAUUUUUACUUAUUUAUUUAUGAGAGACACAGAGAGAAAGAGGCCGAGGGAGAACCAGGCUCCCUGCGGGGAGCCUCAUGUGGGACUCGAUCCCUGGACCUCGGGAUCAUAUCCUGAGUUGAAGGCAGACCCUUAACCGCUGCCACCCAGGUAUCCCCAAAUUUCCUUUAAACGCUAAUCCAGUCACAUUGUUUCUCCUCAGACACCUGUCGUUCAACUACUCAAUUCUGCCUCCAGCCACAUGAAGUAACAACUUUUUUUUUAUUAGGUCCUUAAGUAUUUUCUAGAAUUUUUAAUGUAAACAUAAGCAAAUUCAAAUAUAUUUUCCAAGCCUCCCCUCCUUUUAUGGAAAGAUUGUCACAUUUAUUGUUUUCAUGCUGCUUUUUCCACUUGAUAACAUAUAUUAAAAAUCUUUCCUUAUUAUUUUGUGUUCUCAUUCCUUUUUACUAAGCUGCGUAGUGUUGAUGGACAUUUGUUUAUCCCCCCAUCUAUUGUAUGAUAAACAAUGCUGCGAUGAAUAACUUUGUAUAUACAUCAUGUCACAAGGGUGCAAGUUUCCUUGUAGCAUAAAUUCCCAUAAAUGGAAUUACUGACUGAAAGGGUACAUGCAUUUAUAAUUUUUGUGGUUAUUGCCAAAAGCCCUCCAUAUGGGUUGUACAAAUUUAUAUUCACACCAGAAAUAUGUAAGUGCCCGGUUCCCCACAGCCUUGCCAACGGAGCAGAGCAUCAAAGUUUUUAGAUUUUUGCCAGUGCAAGAGGUAAAAUAUUGUUUAUUAUGUAAUUGUUUAUAUAUCAGUGUCAUCCUUUCCCUUUCACUCCCCACUCCC
RNAcentral lists this long non-coding RNA (2837 nucleotides) under Canis lupus familiaris (dog). Its description in RNAcentral is "lncRNA (ENSCAFG00040004681.1)". The record is from RNAcentral. Lineage: Eukaryota; Metazoa; Chordata; Mammalia; Carnivora; Canidae.